Molecule: long non-coding RNA, 587 nt
Filed under: Brassica napus (rape)
Lineage: Eukaryota; Viridiplantae; Streptophyta; Magnoliopsida; Brassicales; Brassicaceae
Description: long non-coding RNA (BNAP_LNC013431)
Source: RNAcentral
CUUGUAAGGUUUUUAAUGAGGGAGACUCUUCAGAGUUCCAAGCUUAACUUAGGAUCAACUAAAGUUAAGCUUGAGGGGGAGUGUUGAACUGAAGAGAAGAAUGGAGCUUGAGUCCAAUUAGGGCAAGCACUUGAAGAUCUUAAGAAGAGUUAUAUGAAGCUUCAGAAGAGAUGUGAAGCUAGUACAAAGAUAAGAUAGUGAUCUAGAAGAGUAGUAAUUAGAGUUGGGAGAUCUUUGGAGGAGUUUGGGAGCUUAAGGGCGAGGCCGGUACGGACGGCCGUACGGAUGGUACGGCCUGUACAGACAUGAUCGACUCAAGACUUAUGGACUCGACCAUUUGAAGCUAUUUGAGGGCUGUGCAAAUAUAGGGCAUUGGUGUAUGGUUAUGGCAAGUCCGUACAGCCAAGGAGAAGCUCUAAUAUGAAUGUGCAAAGUCCGGGAUGGUGAGAAGCAUCAAAUGGAAUCAAGAAGUUGCUUUGGUGGCAAGAAGAUUCAAACAAGAGUUGGCGCCAGUUUGUGGGAAGUAUGGGAUUGGUUGUAGUGGUCCACGACAGGCUGGCCACAGCUGGAAAGGAAGAGCAAGACAA